CCUCCUUUUCUUGGCGGGGGCCGGGCGUGCAGUCCUGGUCCCUGUUAGGUACGGAGGCAGAGAGAGUGGACUCCGUGUCAUGUCUUUGGUGCCAGCGGCUACCUGUUCGCUGGUUCUAUCCUCAAACACCGGGACAAAG
RNAcentral lists this small nucleolar RNA (139 nucleotides) under Echinops telfairi (small Madagascar hedgehog). Its description in RNAcentral is "Small nucleolar RNA SNORA57 (ENSETEG00000022591.1)". It matches the Rfam family "Small nucleolar RNA SNORA57". From Rfam's summary of the family: U99 belongs to the H/ACA class of snoRNAs which are thought to guide the sites of modification of uridines to pseudouridines, the target for this family is unknown. The record is from RNAcentral. Lineage: Eukaryota; Metazoa; Chordata; Mammalia; Afrosoricida; Tenrecidae.